GGUUCAGUAGCGGGUGGUCCGCGCCCACAGAUAUUAGGUCGCAUCCGAACCCGUGUUCAGUGGGAGGUCGCUUGUUCGAAUCAAGCUUGAACCA
Mycena filopes is the source of this 94-nucleotide non-coding RNA. The record is from the annotation of a GenBank genome assembly. NCBI's taxonomy places the organism in Eukaryota, Fungi, Basidiomycota, Agaricomycetes, Agaricales, Mycenaceae.